UACAAUAUUACUCAAAUAAUUUAUGAUACAAAAUAUAUUAUAAUUCCUGAAAUUUAAAUAUUCAAAUAUUUACAUAAUCUCAAAGAUUUAUUUUGUAAACAGGAUGAAAUUUAAACUUUACUCAGUUAUUUAAUUACAAUUACUUAAUUUAUACAAUAUAACUGAAAUUUUAAUAUUUUUAGUUAAAACACAAAUUUAAAUAUUUACAAAAUCGCAAAUUUCAGGAAUUAUAAUAUAUUAUGUAUCAUAAAUUAUUUGAGUAAUAUUGUAUAAAUGAAGUAAUUGUAAUUAGGUAAUAUUGUACGCAGAAAUGAAGUAAAGUUUACUAAAAGAAAGGAUUGAUUCAGUAAAAAUAAAUGAAGUAAAGUUUACUAAAAGAAAGGAUUGAUUCAGUAAAAAUAAAUGAAGUAAAGUUUACUAAAAGAAAGGAUUGAUUCAGUAAAAAUAAAUGAAGUAAAGUUUACUAAAAGAAAGGAUUGAUUCAGUAAAAAUAAAUGAAGUAAAGUUUACUAAAAGAAAGGAUUGAUUCAGUAAAAAUAAAUGAAGUAAAGUUUACUAUAAGAAAGGAUUGAUUCAGUAAAAAUAAAUGAAGUAAAGUUUACUAAAAGAAAGGAUUGACUGAAGUUCAGUUCACUUAUUUACUCUGUGUAACAUUUAAGUCUUGAAACCGAGUUGAAGUUACUUAAAUUUAUCUGAAAUUAAAUUUACUUUAAAAAGGAAACGCAGAAAGUUGCGAAACUUUUUUAAAGUAAAUUUUACGCACAAUUUGUUUCAGUGCAGGAACACUUUGAAGGAUUGCGGGAUCACAUCUGUCUUCAUGAACCUGUGCUCCUUGUAGCUUAGCGUCAGCGAGUUCGCCCGUGCGAUCGUCUGUUCAUUCGUCUGUCUGUUCGUACGUAAGUACGUCUUUCCGUCCAUUUCGCAGCUUCGGCUGUAUAAACCUCUCAGCUAGACGUGGUAGUCGUCGUUCUGUGUAUAUAUAUAUAAAUAUAGUUUACAGAAAGAAAGGAAUCUAUAUGUAUUAUCUACAAAGUAUUUAUUUAAUGGAUAUAAAUAUAUAUAUCUACAAAAAUCUAUAUGUCAAAGCAUAGAUCUAUACAGAGGAGAAUAAUAUUAUAUAUUUACGUAGGAUUUUCUUCGUAGUGGCUUCAGUCAUUUCCCAGUUUCCCGAAGUAGUGGUUGAUUUGCACACUUUUUAGUAUUAGAUCUAUAUUGUACUACCCUAGGCUAUUUGUGUACAUCCUGAAGUAUAGACGAAAAAUAAUAUAUAACAUAAAAAAAAGAAUAAAAAGAUGUGUUGUUUGAUCAAUUUGAUUAAUUGUUCUAUCGGACAUUUUUCUUUCGCCGUUUCUAAAAAGCGUAUUUAUUUGCAUCUAUAGAUAAAAAAAAGAAAAACAUAAUAUAUACAGUUAAUAUAUAUAUAUUGUCAAAAAAAAUGUUAAAAAUGCUACGAACAAAAAUAAUAAGUGCAUAAUAAACACUUAAGACGUAUAACGAAAAAGGGAACAUUAACUCUGUGCCUCAAAGCUCUGAAGAUUAAUGCUGUGUUUUGUUCGAAUUUCCAAUCCAAGAUGGCCGCUUACUGCAUCAACAGUAGUCAAAAAAGUUGUAUUAUACAGUUUUUUGGCACUAAAAUUAAUGUGAUUUAUGUGUUAUUAUUAUUAAAUUGGUUGUUAAAUUGGGGUUACCGUCCAACUUUUAUACUUCGCCAAGAAUCGUAUGAACCUUUGAAAAGUCAUGUUUUCUUUUGUUGGAUUCGGCAGAAAAUGCAGUUAAAUGUUAAAUAAUUGUCAAAUCAGUGAUCGUAAAUUCAUCAAAAGUCUUUACCGAACUAUUUUACGAAAUAGUUUGGAUGAAAACUUACUUUAAAAUAGUGUAAUUCCAGGUUCACUCUACACGACUGGUUGUGCUGUAAUCAAGAGUCCUUCAGUCGUUGUGCUGUUCACACUACACGACUGAUCAGCGACACGGGGUCAUGAAUUACACGAUUUCUCACAGACUCACCUCACAGCUCUCCAGAAACACGUUUAUUACGAGAACUCACCUGAACCAAACACACGAGAACUAGUGAUGCCAUGCAGAUAAUCUCUAUAGAGGAGAAUACGCACUUAAAGUGAGUCCAACAUGAACGAGUUCAUAUGAAGCCAAAACUAAACCAACUAAACCAGUUUAUAAAUGAUCAGUCUGAUCAGUUUUAUACUGAAAUAUGUACUCAUGUCCUCAAAACACAGAAAUAUAUCAAAUGUUUCUUUUUGAACAGUUAUAAACCUUUUGAACAUGUUUUACCUGUAUCUCCAGGAUCAGCUCACCAAUCAACCAAUCAGCUCACAGUAGCAGUAAUGCUAGUAAACUAGUGCUUUACAGUGUAAAACCUUUUCUGUUUUCUUUAGAUAAACUUAAAAAUGUACAGACACACUUUCUUAGUUUUUGUUUUAGUAAAACACAUUGUUCUACUUUCUAAAAUUAAAGAAAUAUUCAGAGCAAGUAGUUCAUAAUUAUUUUUAAUUUAAAGUUUAAAGCUUUUAUCUCUAUUCAAACCUAUGGAGUUAUUUACUGAUAUAACAGGGAGAAUGGUAGGGUGAUCAGACUCUCCAUAAACAGCUCUGUGUUUUGGACCUGUGGUUCUCUCUUUCUCUUUCUGUGAUCUCAUUGGCUGUAUGUAGCUCCUAGUCGCCGACUGAGUCAGAUAUUAAACAUGUUGAAUAUGUUGUGUGCGACUGAAAAACUGGCUCAAAAUCUUGUAGUGUGACUCAGGCAUCACCGAUAUCGUCUGACAUCCGACUUCCAGCGUCCAAAGUAAACAUCAGUAAAACUCAGCAUUAAACAGCGCCCCCUAUUUUCGUGACGUAAAGUAAUAACGAAGUGUAUUUAAUAACAAAACGUAUUUAAUAGUGAAGCGUAUUUUGCGACGCUGCGAUCAGAGCCAGCGGGGAGCAAAGGAAGGUUCUAGUUUCUAGUGUUUCCGAAUGUAGUUUCUUAAACUUAGUUUCUCUUUUUUUUUGUUUAAUCUGUUCGAUUUUAUUAGUCGUAAAAUAAAAAUCGACAAAAAUCGAGAAAAAGCGAAGAAAAAUCGAGAAAAAGUGAGACCACCUCAAAAACCUUUGCGACCCGCGAAUGACACAGUUUUAACAAACGACUGGAAUGAAUGAAAAUGCACCAAAAAAAAAAAAAACGAAA
Astyanax mexicanus (Mexican tetra) is the source of this 3177-nucleotide long non-coding RNA. RefSeq lists it as uncharacterized. NCBI's taxonomy places the organism in Eukaryota, Metazoa, Chordata, Actinopteri, Characiformes, Acestrorhamphidae. The transcript is spliced from 2 exons. The record is from RefSeq and is a predicted model, not a curated record.